GAUUUUUUCUGUUUUAUUUCACCAGUAGGGGCCCCAUAUACAUUCAAGAACUGCAAAUGACAGUGGUUUCCUAAUGCUUUAACAAAGGUUGCUUUAACAAAAUUAACCCUUUUUCCUACCUUGACAGCCAUUCUGUGCUUAAAAGCGAGCAUGUGGAUUUAAACUUGUUGGUACAGAAAGUCAGUGGGACUCAUGACAUAUUUGUGGACAUUUUGUGAUACUCAUUGUUAUUAAAAUGCGGUUGCAUUUUAGACCCUAUUUUCCCUCAAAAUGGAAAACUUUUUGACACUUUCUUUAAAUAGAAUCACAAUUCCUGCCAUUUGAAAUGUAGGGGG
Long non-coding RNA from Sinocyclocheilus anshuiensis, 335 nucleotides. RefSeq lists it as uncharacterized. Lineage: Eukaryota; Metazoa; Chordata; Actinopteri; Cypriniformes; Cyprinidae. The record is from RefSeq and is a predicted model, not a curated record. The transcript is spliced from 2 exons.